Molecule: ribosomal RNA, 241 nt
Filed under: uncultured bacterium
Lineage: Bacteria
Description: partial 16S ribosomal RNA
Rfam family: Bacterial small subunit ribosomal RNA
Source: RNAcentral
AAGCGUUGUUCGGAUUCAUUGGGCGUAAAGGGUGCGUAGGCGGCGCGGUAAGUCGGGUGUGAAAUCUCGGGGCUUAACUCCGAAACUGCAUUCGAUACUGCCGUGCUUGAGGACUGGAGAGGAGACUGGAAUUUACGGUGUAGCGGUGAAAUGCGUAGAUAUCGUAAGGAAGACCAGUGGCGAAGGCGGGUCUCUGGACAGUUCCUGACGCUGAGUCACGAAGUCCAGGGGAGCAAACGGG